CCUACGGGUGGCUGCAGUGGGGAAUAUUGGGCAAUGGGCGCAAGCCUGACCCAGCAACGCCGCGUGAAGGAAGAAGGCUUUCGGGUUGUAAACUUCUUUUAAGAGGGAAGAUCAGAAGACGGUACCUCUUGAAUAAGCCACGUCUAACUACGUGCAAGGAGCCGCGGUAAUACGUAGGUGGAAAGCGUUGUCCGGAUUUACUGGGUGUAAAGGGCGUGCAGGCGGGAAAACAAGUCAGAUGUGAAAUCCCGCUGCUCAACCGCAGAACUGCAUUUGAAACUGGUUUUCUUGAGUGCCGGAGAGGUAAUCGGAAUUCGUUGUGUAGGGGUGAAAUGCGUAGAUAUAAGGAAGAACACCAGUGGCGAAGGCGGAUGACUGGACGGCAACUGACGGUGAGGCGCGAAAGCGUGGGGAGCAAACAGGAUUAGAUACCCUGGUAGUC
RNAcentral lists this ribosomal RNA (442 nucleotides) under uncultured bacterium. Its description in RNAcentral is "partial 16S ribosomal RNA". It matches the Rfam family "Bacterial small subunit ribosomal RNA", at positions 338 to 795 of the family's 1533-position model. The record is from RNAcentral.